Molecule: ribosomal RNA, 253 nt
Filed under: uncultured bacterium
Lineage: Bacteria
Description: partial 16S ribosomal RNA
Rfam family: Bacterial small subunit ribosomal RNA
Source: RNAcentral
UACGUAGGGCGCAAGCGUUAUCCGGAAUUAUUGGGCGUAAGGAGCUCGUAGGCGGUUUGUCGCGUCUGCCGUGAAAGUCCGGGGCUUAACUCCGGAUCUGCGGUGGGUACGGGCAGACUAGAGUGCAGUAGGGGAGACUGGAAUUCCUGGUGUAGCGGUGAAAUGCGCAGAUAUCAGGAGGAACACCGAUGGCGAAGGCAGGUCUCUGGGCUGUAACUGACGCUGAGGAGCGAAAGCGUGGGGAGCAAACAGG